CUUGGGGGAACCACUUGGCAAGGCACCCGUGGAAACUCCUUUUACUACCAGUUUAAAUUUCACCACCCCAACUGGUUCUCCUGAAUCUAUUCUCAAGUGAGUAAGACACAACCCACCCUCUGCAGCCUCAACCACAUUCCUGAGAACAAACAAAUGUGCAGAGCUAUGGCCAGAAGAUGACAAAAGCACACAGUAGUCCAUUAAGCAGAAGACAGAGGCAGUCAUCAGUUUGUAAGAAGUCUGUGCUGCUGUUUGCUGGAGUUUCUGGCUAUGAGCAAUCCAGUUGUUAGCCUUGGAAAACAGCAGAUGCCAUUGAUGAGUUGUGCACAGCUUCCAGGCAAGUUGUUCUUGCUGAGCACAAUGUGACAUGGUUUGGGAUAUCCGUGUGGUCAUCAGGUGGUCCUGGCUGGGUCUUCUCCUCUCGUGCACCCUGGUCCACUCACUGAGAGAGCAUCAUGAGAAAAGCUUGAGGCUGCACAAGCCCUGUUCUGCAGGAGCUAAACUGAGGGGUUCUUACCACCAUUUUGGUCAGAAAUCCAAAAGCUAUCACCAUACAAGUUUCUAUGAAGAAUUCUGUCCCAGUGAAAACCAGUACAAUUCCCCACACAAACAAGCAGAAGCAUGCCUGUUCUUCCCAGGUCAUCCACCUCUCUAUUUGCCUCCUUGGGGAUUUUUGGUCCAUCUUUUAGGGAGCCCCAUGCUACUUCCUCUGUCUCUACUUGCAGGAAAAAAAA
Parus major (Great Tit) is the source of this 734-nucleotide long non-coding RNA. RefSeq lists it as uncharacterized. The transcript is spliced from 3 exons. Lineage: Eukaryota; Metazoa; Chordata; Aves; Passeriformes; Paridae. The record is from RefSeq and is a predicted model, not a curated record.